Molecule: ribosomal RNA, 252 nt
Filed under: Pasteurella multocida subsp. multocida str. P52VAC
Lineage: Bacteria; Pseudomonadati; Pseudomonadota; Gammaproteobacteria; Pasteurellales; Pasteurellaceae
Description: partial 23S ribosomal RNA
Rfam family: Bacterial large subunit ribosomal RNA
Source: RNAcentral
GUAUGGUUAAGUGACUAAGCGUACAGGGCGGAUGCCUUGGCAAUCAGAGGCGAUGAAGGACGUGCUAAUCUGCGAAAAGCUUGGAUGAGUCGAUAAGAGGCGUUUAAUCCAAGAUGUCCGAAUGGGGAAACCCAGUAGAUGAAGAAUCUACUAUCAAUAAAUGAAUACAUAGUUUAUUGAGGCGAACCGGGAGAACUGAAACAUCUAAGUACCCCGAGGAAAAGAAAUCAACCGAGAUUCUGUGAGUAGCGG